AUGUCUAGACAACCAUCCGAUGUUGUCUUCAAUAUAAAAAAGUUGAUUGGAAAACAAUUUGAUGACUGUUGGGUGCAAGAAAUGAGGAAACGGGUCCAUUUCAGCGUCGUUGAAGGGGAGCGAGGAGAAGCUUGUGUCCAAAUCCGUGGAGUCAGCUUUUCUUCCGUUGAAAUUGCAAGUGUUAUUUUUUCAAAGCUCAAGGAUAUCGUUCUGAUGUACCAAUUUCAUCACGAAUUAAAAGCGGUGAUAAGUGUGCCCAUUUUCUUCAGUGAACAACAAAGGGAGGCCAUAUUGUUGGCGGCAAAUAAAGCGGGUUUAACGGUAUUGCAGUUAACGGAUGAACCAACGGAUGAGCAACAAUUAAAGAAGAUACCAUUGUUGUUUUCGACAUGGGUGCUUGGUGUGUCCGGCACAAACAUAAAAGAUACACUGUCUCCGUCCUUGGUGUGUCCGGCACAAACAUUGAGGUCAAAAGUCAAUUUGGUGACCCCUGUGUGGGUGGGGAUCAGUUUGACGCUAUAG
RNAcentral lists this ribosomal RNA (522 nucleotides) under Triticum aestivum (bread wheat). Its description in RNAcentral is "partial small subunit ribosomal RNA". Lineage: Eukaryota; Viridiplantae; Streptophyta; Magnoliopsida; Poales; Poaceae. The record is from RNAcentral.